Long non-coding RNA from Cercocebus atys (sooty mangabey), 2076 nucleotides. RefSeq lists it as uncharacterized. Lineage: Eukaryota; Metazoa; Chordata; Mammalia; Primates; Cercopithecidae. The transcript has 2 exons. The record is from RefSeq and is a predicted model, not a curated record.
GUCAUAGCGACUUUUGGGAUAGUUUGCUAUCGACAAAGGGGGACAAAGUCAAGGGGUGAGGGAAAGGAGGGCCAAGUAGAGCCUCCACGACCCUCGGCUGCCUCCUCACCAGCUCCCCCUCCCCCCAAGUCCAGUAAGAAGUUGGGCCAAGCUGGAAGGGAUUGACCGGGUUGCUUGUCUGGAGAUGGAGCCACUACGGGCAGGGCCUGGGCGCCUGGAGUCGGGCAUGAAAGGAAAUAGCGCCUCAUCGCUCUUAUCUAAGCCCAGAGGUAUUUAUGAGCGUUUAUUCGUCUGAUCCGUUUGUUUGGGAAAAAGAGCAGGCGGGCAGGGCGGGCCAGAGACCGACUCCUUUCUGGAGCCAGAUCCCUACGAAUCUGUCUGUGGUUCGGUCCACCGCCCUCUGUCUGUCUCCAUGGGGGAAUAUGUAAAUACACAGCGGGCUCAGCCAUGCGCCAGUCUGGGGUGUCUCUCCCUGCCUCAACGAGGAAGUGUGUGUUCAGAGAGAUGGAUAGAAGCGUGUACCAAUUCUUGAGUACAUAACAGAGGGAUUGCACAGAUACCCCACAGGCAGGAUUUAUAAUUGUAAUUUUCUAUGCUGUGAGUCUGCAGUCCUGUGGGCAAGCUAACACAUUCCAGCUCCCAGGAAAAUGUUUCCUAAGUUGUGUUCAGUUCAGGAGAAAAAUUCUUGAUAGGUAACCUCAGGAGGGAUAUUUGCCUCUAUGUGUGUGUGUGUGUGUGUGUGUGUGUGUGUGUGUGUGUGUGUAGUGUGUAGGGGGGGUGCUGAGACAUUGUCCAGGCUUCUGAUUUCCUCUAAGCUAUAAGGCCCUCUCCCUCAGCUCUUUGGGGGUGAUGAGCACCUUCCCCCACGACUCCCAACUUUGGCUGGGGUGGGGUGGAAUGAAAAUAAUUCAACUCAAUUCUCACCCUGGACUCUGUUUCUCUGGGUUUGGGGAACAUAAAUAAAUGUUCCCAGGGGUACUGAGUGAUCACUCCCAUAGGUUGAGGAAGGCUCUUUAGAUGAGACACUUUGCCCUAAAAUUGGUCCGUCCAAAUCAAAGUACAAAGACUUCAUUUUCAUUAUGCAAAUGAGCGGCAUCCUCUUUGAUCUUUAGGGGGAGUGAGCAGUAGCGCUGAGCCCAUUCUCCCGGUUUCCUACCCGCACCCAGGGCGCAACCUAAAGGCCCUGAAGUGUUUCAGUACCAUGUACCAGCUUGACUUCUCUACAUGUCUUUUGGAUUGUCCAAAAGUAAAACAAUCUCCGAGGGGCCAAGGACCUUCUAGGGCUGGCUCCGUGGGGGCCUCCUAUAGAGCACCUCGCUGAGCCGGGCCAUAUAGCCACCAGAAAGUCACUCUCGCUGCAGAAAAGCUGAAAAGAGCUGCUCUAGAGGCGCCAAAAGCGGGUAGGGGCCGCAGCCACAGUGUUUGUCCCCAGCACCACCAGGCACCUUAACCUCAUCAGCUCCUCUAGCCCUGGGCCAGACUCUGAGAACACCUUGAUCUGACUGGCACCGCAGGCAAUUUCCUGGAACCCCACCCCCACCCAGGAAUGGGACCACAGCACCUUUAAAGGAACUGCCAGAGCUUCCUCCUACGGCUUGAAAGCCCAAGCUAAUCAGUAACCCGUGAGACAGGGGCCAAUAUUCAAACGCUGCAGCAGAGGCGCAUAGCCUAGCCCUGGCCACCCCCUCUUGGGAAGGUGGUCGAGUUAAGCUGGUGUGAAGGGUCCAACAGGAACAGAAAUUACGACGGUGUGGUUCCUUAAUGAUUUGGCCCCAGUCCACUACCAAAUUUUUCCCAAAUCAUAUUUAGGUCGACUUCGCUUGAAAAGAUCGAGAAUGGGGGAGGGGAUUGACACUCACUUGCAGACAUCAACAGUUUCCAGAAAACUCCGUUCAAUUCCUUCACCACGAACCCACCAACCAAGGAACUGGCGAGACCCACCAGCCAACCAGGAGAACACAGACCCGGUUUGUCUUUUGACAACCGAGUGGAACUGCCGGGGCCGGCGCCUGCCCUGCGGGUCCCCUCCCUUGGCAGGGAAGAAAACCAAAUAAACCUUGAACAGCCUUGGCUUCG